This 163-nucleotide ribosomal RNA is filed under the name Muraltia pungens. RNAcentral describes it as "5.8S ribosomal RNA". It matches the Rfam family "5.8S ribosomal RNA". From Rfam's summary of the family: 5.8S ribosomal RNA (5.8S rRNA) is a component of the large subunit of the eukaryotic ribosome. It is transcribed by RNA polymerase I as part of the 45S precursor that also contains 18S and 28S rRNA. Functionally, it is thought that 5.8S rRNA may be involved in ribosome translocation. The record is from RNAcentral. Lineage: Eukaryota; Viridiplantae; Streptophyta; Magnoliopsida; Fabales; Polygalaceae.
GAACGACUCUCGGCAACGGAUAUCUCGGCUCUCGCAUCGAUGAAGAACGUAGCGAAAUGCGAUACUUGGUGUGAAUUGCAGAAUCCCGUGAACCAUCGAGUCUUUGAACGCAAGUUGCGCCCGAUGCCUUCUGGCCGAGGGCAUGUCUGCCUGGGCGUCACGC